This 460-nucleotide ribosomal RNA is filed under the name uncultured bacterium. Its description in RNAcentral is "partial 16S ribosomal RNA". It matches the Rfam family "Bacterial small subunit ribosomal RNA", at positions 338 to 795 of the family's 1533-position model. The record is from RNAcentral.
CCUACGGGUGACAGCAGUGAGGAAUAUUGGUCAAUGGACGAGAGUCUGAACCAGCAAAGUAGCGUGAAGGAUGACUGCCCUAUGGGUUGUACACUUCUUUUAUAAGGGACUAAAACGAGACACGUGUGCCUUUUUGCAUGUACUUUAUGCAUAAGUAUCGGCUAACUCCUUGCCAGCAGCCGCGGUAAUACGGAGGAUCCGAGCGUUAUCCGGAUUUAUUGGGUUUAAAGGGAGCGUAGAUGGGUUGUUCAGUCAGUUGUGAAAGUUUGCGGAUCAACCGUAAAAUUGCAACUGAUACUGGCAGUCUUGAGUACAGUUGAGGUAGGCGGAAUUCGUGGUGUAGCGGUGAAAUGCUUAGAUAUCACGAAGAAACCCGAUUGCGAAGGCAGCUUACUAAACUGUGACUGACAUUGAUGCUCGAAAGUGUGGGUAUCAAACAGGAUUAGAUACCCGAGUAGUC